This is a non-coding RNA of Populus trichocarpa (black cottonwood), 136 nucleotides long. The record is from Rfam. Lineage: Eukaryota; Viridiplantae; Streptophyta; Magnoliopsida; Malpighiales; Salicaceae.
UAGUCUAUCUAUAUCAGAUCCUCAUAUAGUUAUGUUGGAUUCUCACCCAAACGCUAAGAACUUUUAAUUUCUACAUGCCCAAGUGCAUCAUCAUAUGUCUAAAAAGAUCACCACCAACAUCAUACAAUGAAAGAAU